RNAcentral lists this ribosomal RNA (253 nucleotides) under uncultured bacterium. RNAcentral describes it as "partial 16S ribosomal RNA". It matches the Rfam family "Bacterial small subunit ribosomal RNA", at positions 524 to 776 of the family's 1533-position model. The record is from RNAcentral.
UACGUAGGGGGCGAGCGUUGUCCGGAUUUAUUGGGCGUAAAGCGCGCGUAGGCGGCUUUGCAAGUCGGGUGUGAAAUCCCCAGGCUUAACCUGGGAACUGCAUUCGAGACUGCAUUGCUAGAGUAUGGGAGAGGGAAGUGGAAUUUCAGGUGUAGCGGUGAAAUGCGUAGAUAUCUGAAGGAACAUCAGUGGCGAAAGCGACUUCCUGGACCAAUACUGACGCUCAUGUGCGAAAGCGUGGGGAGCAAACAGG